Molecule: non-coding RNA, 148 nt
Filed under: Gorilla gorilla gorilla (western lowland gorilla)
Lineage: Eukaryota; Metazoa; Chordata; Mammalia; Primates; Hominidae
Source: Rfam by way of RNAcentral
GCCAGGUAUGGUGGUGCAUGCCUGUAAUCCCAACUACUUGGGAGGCUGAGGCGGAAGAAUCACUUGAACCUAGGAGGCAGAGGUUGCAUUGAACCAAGAUGGUACCACUGCACUCCAGCCUGGGUGACAGAGUGAGAUUCUGUCUCAA